UACGGAGGGGACUAGCGUUGUUCGGAAUUACUGGGCGUAAAGAGUACGUAGGCUGUUGAUCAAGUUGGAUGUGAAAGCCCGGGGCUCAACCCCGGAACUGCAUUCAAAACUGAUCAGCUAGAGAUCGGAAGAGGUAAGUGGAAUUCCCAGUGUAGAGGUGAAAUUCGUAGAUAUUGGGAAGAACACCGGUGGCGAAGGCG
This 200-nucleotide ribosomal RNA is filed under the name uncultured bacterium. RNAcentral describes it as "partial 16S ribosomal RNA". It matches the Rfam family "Bacterial small subunit ribosomal RNA", at positions 524 to 723 of the family's 1533-position model. The record is from RNAcentral.